CUUGGUGAUGGGGUUCCAGGGCAGCAUCACAAAGUGAGUGGGACUGUUGUCCCACUCCUGGUUGCUUUUAUCCCUAUCAGAGAGAAAAUGAAUUACUGAGAUAACCCCUUACAAAUGAUCAUCUUGGAUUUAUGAUUGUAUUGCAUUUGUCAUACACAUAAAAAACCAUCUUUUAGAAGCAGAGGAAAUUCAGGGAGAACGACUGAGCAGGACAGGGUCCUAAGGAAAAGAUGGAGAAUCUCUGCUGCCUCCAGCGCACUCAAAUUUAGGCCUCCUCUCCCAGCAUGUGGAAAAGGCGUGGGCUUUGGGCCAGAGGAGGACCUGGGAUGUGAUGGCAGAAGGCAGAGAUCCUCUUUCCUAGCUGGGAAUGCUCCUUUCCAAACCAGCCAGGAAGGAAGGGAGAGGAAUCUGUGAGCACAGCCGAAGUUUGUGAAGCAGGGACUGCUGGAGGAGCUCGCUGUACAACUCAAUUUGCACAAUGUCUGAGCACUCCACUUUCAAAAGUCAGCCCAAGCAGAUCGUUCCAGAUUCCCCUUGCCAGAAUCCUUGGGAUGGGUCCAAGGGAAUGAUCUUGUCUGCUGCAGCUUUUAGGGGAAGGAUGCUCCCUCAGCACAGCAAGUCACGGUGCUCAGAGCAGGACACCUUUCAGACACCUCCUGAUGGGAGCAAGGUGAGUGCUGCUGUGCUGCUCUGGCCAUGGCAGAAUUUGGCUCUUUGAUUCCUCCGAUCGUUUCCAGGGAUAUUAUCCAGCCAUUCUGGAAAACCUGACACUUGACAAACGACACUUCUGCAAGGUCAUCCUUAAACCUUUGAGGAACAGGGAGCUUUUUCAGCUGCCCCUGCCCUUCCCUGAAUGCCGGCAGCCAAGCCCAUAUGGAGCAUUGUGGGCUGAGCUCGUUGUUGAUGCAAAUGCAUACGACUAGUUUUGAUUAAAAGCAAAAUGCAGAA
Long non-coding RNA from Gallus gallus (chicken), 948 nucleotides. RefSeq lists it as uncharacterized. Lineage: Eukaryota; Metazoa; Chordata; Aves; Galliformes; Phasianidae. The transcript has 6 exons. The record is from RefSeq and is a predicted model, not a curated record.